GGGUGGAUCCGCAAGUCGGCUCGCGAAAUUCAGCUCGGAAGGCUGGUGCGGGCGCCUGCAGGAGCGAGAUCUGUCUGGACUCGCCUGCCGCUCGUCUCCUGCCAGCCUGACGUGUGCACUUUUCGCGGGCAGAGCGCCACGACCGGUUUCCCGGCAGUCAGAAGGCGGCGAGGAAGGUAGGCGGGCACCCCCCGGGCCGGACGGACCUGGGGUGCUCGUGUAGCUGGCCGCAAGCAAAGGGUCGGUGGCGAAUCGGUCGGCACUCCACCCGACCCGUCUUGAAACACGGACCAAGGAGUCUAACAUGCGCGCAAGUCGUUGGGUCGUACGAAACCCGAAGGCGAAGUGAAAGCGAGGGCCGUCCUCGCGACGUGCUCAGGUGGGAUCCCGUCGGGGACAAGGUAUUUAAGGCGGGCGCACCACCGGCCCGUCUCGUUCGCGUCGUCGAGGAGGCGGAGCAAGAGCGUGCACGUUGGGACCCGAAAGAUGGUGAACUAUGCCUGAGUAGGACGAAGCCAGAGGAAACUCUGGUGGAGGUCCGCAGCGAUUCUGACGUGCAAAUCGAUCGUCAAACUUGGGUAUAGGGGCGAAAGACUAAUCGAACCAUCUAG
This 611-nucleotide ribosomal RNA is filed under the name Diplommatina sp. nov. AG MS-2010. Its description in RNAcentral is "eukaryotic LSU rRNA". The stretch from base 290 to 611 matches the Rfam family "Eukaryotic large subunit ribosomal RNA", at positions 665 to 947 of the family's 3401-position model. Lineage: Eukaryota; Metazoa; Mollusca; Gastropoda; Architaenioglossa; Diplommatinidae. The record is from RNAcentral.